RNAcentral lists this non-coding RNA (29 nucleotides) under Rattus norvegicus (Norway rat). Lineage: Eukaryota; Metazoa; Chordata; Mammalia; Rodentia; Muridae. The record is from RNAcentral.
UGGAAGCUCUGGUUGCUUGGCGUUGUUGU